AGCAUGUGGUUUAAUUCGAAGCAACGCGCAGAACCUUACCAGCCCUUGACAUACCGGUCGCGGACACAGAGAUGUGUCUUUCAGUUCGGCUGGACCGGAUACAGGUGCUGCAUGGCUGUCGUCAGCUCGUGUCGUGAGAUGUUGGGUUAAGUCCCGCAACGAGCGCAACCCUCGCCCUUAGUUGCCAGCAUUUAGUUGGGCACUCUAAGGGGACUGCCGGUGAUAAGCCGAGAGGAAGGUGGGGAUGACGUCAAGUCCUCAUGGCCCUUACGGCCUGGGCUACACACGUGCUACAAUGGUCGGUACAAAGGGUUGCCAAGCCGCGAGGUGGAGCUAAUCCCAUAAAACCGAUCGUAGUCCGGAUCGCAGUCUGCAACUCGACUGCGUGAAGUCGGAAUCGCUAGUAAUCGUGAAUCAGAAUGUCACGGUGAAUACGUUCCCGGGCCUU
This 448-nucleotide ribosomal RNA is filed under the name uncultured Phyllobacteriaceae bacterium. RNAcentral describes it as "bacterial SSU rRNA". It matches the Rfam family "Bacterial small subunit ribosomal RNA", at positions 936 to 1382 of the family's 1533-position model. Lineage: Bacteria; Pseudomonadati; Pseudomonadota; Alphaproteobacteria; Hyphomicrobiales; Phyllobacteriaceae. The record is from RNAcentral.